This 2758-nucleotide ribosomal RNA is filed under the name Klebsiella pneumoniae. RNAcentral describes it as "bacterial LSU rRNA". It matches the Rfam family "Bacterial large subunit ribosomal RNA". The record is from RNAcentral. Lineage: Bacteria; Pseudomonadati; Pseudomonadota; Gammaproteobacteria; Enterobacterales; Enterobacteriaceae.
CACUAUCGUUAACUGAAUACAUAGGUUAACGAGGCGAACCGGGGGAACUGAAACAUCUAAGUACCCCGAGGAAAAGAAAUCAACCGAGAUUCCCCCAGUAGCGGCGAGCGAACGGGGAGCAGCCCAGAGUCUGAAUCAGCUUGUGUGUUAGUGGAACGGUCUGGAAAGUCCGACGGUACAGGGUGAUAGUCCCGUACACCAAAAUGCACAGGCUGUGAACUCGAAGAGUAGGGCGGGACACGUGGUAUCCUGUCUGAAUAUGGGGGGACCAUCCUCCAAGGCUAAAUACUCCUGACUGACCGAUAGUGAACCAGUACCGUGAGGGAAAGGCGAAAAGAACCCCGGCGAGGGGAGUGAAAAAGAACCUGAAACCGUGUACGUACAAGCAGUGGGAGCACCUUCGGGUGUGACUGCGUACCUUUUGUAUAAUGGGUCAGCGACUUAUAUUCUGUAGCAAGGUUAACCGUAUAGGGGAGCCGCAGGGAAACCGAGUCUUAACUGGGCGUUAAGUUGCAGGGUAUAGACCCGAAACCCGGUGAUCUAGCCAUGGGCAGGUUGAAGGUUGGGUAACACUAACUGGAGGACCGAACCGACUAAUGUUGAAAAAUUAGCGGAUGACUUGUGGCUGGGGGUGAAAGGCCAAUCAAACCGGGAGAUAGCUGGUUCUCCCCGAAAGCUAUUUAGGUAGCGCCUCGUGAACUCAUCUUCGGGGGUAGAGCACUGUUUCGGCUAGGGGGUCAUCCCGACUUACCAACCCGAUGCAAACUACGAAUACCGAAGAAUGUUAUCACGGGAGACACACGGCGGGUGCUAACGUCCGUCGUGAAGAGGGAAACAACCCAGACCGCCAGCUAAGGUCCCAAAGUCAUGGUUAAGUGGGAAACGAUGUGGGAAGGCACAGACAGCCAGGAUGUUGGCUUAGAAGCAGCCAUCAUUUAAAGAAAGCGUAAUAGCUCACUGGUCGAGUCGGCCUGCGCGGAAGAUGUAACGGGGCUAAACCAUGCACCGAAGCUGCGGCAGCGACACUAUGUGUUGUUGGGUAGGGGAGCGUUCUGUAAGCCUGCGAAGGUGACCUGUGAGGGUUGCUGGAGGUAUCAGAAGUGCGAAUGCUGACAUAAGUAACGAUAAAGCGGGUGAAAAGCCCGCUCGCCGGAAGACCAAGGGUUCCUGUCCAACGUUAAUCGGGGCAGGGUGAGUCGACCCCUAAGGCGAGGCCGAAAGGCGUAGUCGAUGGGAAACAGGUUAAUAUUCCUGUACUUGGUGUUACUGCGAAGGGGGGACGGAGAAGGCUAUGUUAGCCGGGCGACGGUUGUCCCGGUUUAAGCAUGUAGGCUGGUUGUCCAGGCAAAUCCGGAUAAUCAAGGCUGAGGUGUGAUGACGAGGCACUACGGUGCUGAAGUAACAAAUGCCCUGCUUCCAGGAAAAGCCUCUAAGCAUCAGGUAACAUUAAAUCGUACCCCAAACCGACACAGGUGGUCAGGUAGAGAAUACCAAGGCGCUUGAGAGAACUCGGGUGAAGGAACUAGGCAAAAUGGUGCCGUAACUUCGGGAGAAGGCACGCUGGUGUGUAGGUGAAGUCCCUGCGGAUGGAGCUGAGACCAGUCGAAGAUACCAGCUGGCUGCAACUGUUUAUUAAAAACACAGCACUGUGCAAACACGAAAGUGGACGUAUACGGUGUGACGCCUGCCCGGUGCCGGAAGGUUAAUUGAUGGGGUUAUCCGUAAGGAGAAGCUCUUGAUCGAAGCCCCGGUAAACGGCGGCCGUAACUAUAACGGUCCUAAGGUAGCGAAAUUCCUUGUCGGGUAAGUUCCGACCUGCACGAAUGGCGUAAUGAUGGCCAGGCUGUCUCCACCCGAGACUCAGUGAAAUUGAACUCGCUGUGAAGAUGCAGUGUACCCGCGGCAAGACGGAAAGACCCCGUGAACCUUUACUAUAGCUUGACACUGAACAUUGAGCCUUGAUGUGUAGGAUAGGUGGGAGGCUUUGAAGCGUGGACGCCAGUCUGCGUGGAGCCAACCUUGAAAUACCACCCUUUAAUGUUUGAUGUUCUAACGUUGGCCCCUUACCGGGGUUGCGGACAGUGUCUGGUGGGUAGUUUGACUGGGGCGGUCUCCUCCCAAAGCGUAACGGAGGAGCACGAAGGUUAGCUAAUCCUGGUCGGACAUCAGGAGGUUAGUGCAAUGGCAUAAGCUAGCUUGACUGCGAGCGUGACGGCGCGAGCAGGUGCGAAAGCAGGUCAUAGUGAUCCGGUGGUUCUGAAUGGAAGGGCCAUCGCUCAACGGAUAAAAGGUACUCCGGGGAUAACAGGCUGAUACCGCCCAAGAGUUCAUAUCGACGGCGGUGUUUGGCACCUCGAUGUCGGCUCAUCACAUCCUGGGGCUGAAGUAGGUCCCAAGGGUAUGGCUGUUCGCCAUUUAAAGUGGUACGCGAGCUGGGUUUAGAACGUCGUGAGACAGUUCGGUCCCUAUCUGCCGUGGGCGCUGGAGAAUUGAGGGGGGCUGCUCCUAGUACGAGAGGACCGGAGUGGACGCAUCACUGGUGUUCGGGUUGUCAUGCCAAUGGCACUGCCCGGUAGCUAAAUGCGGAAGAGAUAAGUGCUGAAAGCAUCUAAGCACGAAACUUGCCCCGAGAUGAGUUCUCCCUGAGACUUUAAGUCUCCUGAAGGAACGUUAAAGACGAUGACGUUGAUAGGCCGGGUGUGUAAGCGCAGCGAUGCGUUGAGCUAACCGGUACUAAUGAACCGUGAGGCUUAACCUU